GGUUUAAUUCGAUGAUACGCGAGGAACCUUACCCGGGCUUGAAUUGCAGAGGAAGGAUUUGGAGACAAUGACGCCCUUCGGGGCCUCGUGUGAAGGUGCUGCAUGGUUGUCGUCAGCUCGUGCCGUGAGGUGUCGGCUUAAGUGCCAUAACGAGCGCAACCCCUCUCCUUAGUUGCCAUCAGGUAAACGCUGGGCACUCUGGGGACACUGCCACCGUAAGGUGUGA
RNAcentral lists this ribosomal RNA (226 nucleotides) under uncultured bacterium. RNAcentral describes it as "partial 16S ribosomal RNA". It matches the Rfam family "Bacterial small subunit ribosomal RNA", at positions 943 to 1167 of the family's 1533-position model. The record is from RNAcentral.